RNAcentral lists this ribosomal RNA (461 nucleotides) under uncultured bacterium. RNAcentral describes it as "partial 16S ribosomal RNA". It matches the Rfam family "Bacterial small subunit ribosomal RNA", at positions 338 to 795 of the family's 1533-position model. The record is from RNAcentral.
CCUACGGGUGGGCAGCAGUGAGGAAGAUUGGGCAAUGGGCGCAAGCCUGAACCAGCCAAGGCGCGUGAGGGAUGAAGGUCCGAUGGAUUGGAAACCUCUUUUGGCGGGGAGCAAGGCCCGCCACGUGGGGCGGGAAGGAGAGUACCCGAAGAAAAAGCAUCGGCUAACUCCGGGCCAGCAGCCGCGGUAAUACGGAGGAUGCGAGCGUUAUCCGGAUUUAUUGGGUUUAAAGGGUGCGUAGGCGGAAGGUUAAGUCAGCGGGAAAAUGUCGGUGCUCAACACCGGCCUGCCGUUGAAACGGGUCUUCUUGAGUGCGCGAGACGUAUGCGGAAUGCGUGGUGUAGCGGUGACAUGCCUAGAUAUCACGCAGACCUCCGAUUGCGAAGGCAGCAUACCGGCGCUCAACUGACGCUGAGGCACGAAAGCGUGGGUAUCGAACAGGAUUAGAUACCCUUGUAGUC